This 253-nucleotide ribosomal RNA is filed under the name uncultured bacterium. RNAcentral's name for it is "partial 16S ribosomal RNA". It matches the Rfam family "Bacterial small subunit ribosomal RNA", at positions 524 to 776 of the family's 1533-position model. The record is from RNAcentral.
UACGUAGGGGGCAAGCGUUGUCCGGAAUCAUUGGGCGUAAAGAGCGCGUAGGCGGCCCAGUAAGUCCGCUCUGAAAGUCAGGGGCUCAACCCCUGGAUGCGGGUGGAUACUGCUGGGCUAGAGUCCGGAAGAGGCGAGUGGAAUUCCUGGUGUAGCGGUGAAAUGCGCAGAUAUCGGGAAGAACACCCAUGGCGAAGGCAGCUCUCUGGGACGGUACUGACGCUGAGACGCGAAAGCGUGGGGAGCGAACAGG